GAUAGGGCUGCGACCCAGACCUCCCUCUUGCGUCCUAUAUAUAGUGGGGGAGAGGGAGGGGCUGAACACACCAAUUACCACGCCCAAGUGGCAUCCCUACCUCUCCCAUAACUCUGUUUUCUCCUCAGAUAGGUUACGGUUGCACUUGGCGAAGCCCUGGUGGCACUGCUCCACCAUGCCGUCGUGCUGGUUAAGAUCCCGUCUACUACUCCUUCUUCUCUUGCUGGAUCAAGAAGGAGGAGACAUCAUCGAGCCAUAUGUGUGCUGAACGCGGAGGUGUCGUCUGUUCAGCGCUAGAUCGGGACAAAUCGUGAUCAGCUCACGGGACGGAUCGUGAUUGGAUUGUGAAGACGUCCGACUACAUCGACUGCGUUAUAUACGCUUCCGCUUAGCGAUCUACAAGGGUAUGUAGAUGCACUCCCCCUCUCGUAGAUGGUCAUCACCAUGGAUAGAUCUUAUGUGUGUGUAGGACAUUUUUUGUUUCCCAUGCGAUGUUCCCCAACACUUAUACACGACGCUCCUCCCCCUGACCCGUGGGCCCUUGUGUGAGAGCCCCCUUGCAUCUUGGUGGAGAAACGGGCAUGCAUUUACUUGUGGGGGCCUGGUUGCACUUGGGCGGUCAUUUUUCCCCGUCCAAUGCACUUUCUCUUUGCACUGCAUGCACACACCUUGUGCACUCUGUGCUAUUACUUUCCUGAACUGCAUUCAACUUUUGAUUUAGGAGGAGCUUGUGAAUCAUAAUUUUUUAGAAAUAUAUAUAUUGAUGAGCAUUCACUUUCGUGAACUGCAUUCACCUUUUUUAUGAUGGUUUUGUGAAUCGUAUUAUUUUAGAAAUAUAAAUAUCAAUUAGGAUGUUUGUUGCGCUGGUGAACUGUAAUUUUUUUUUGUAGACUGCAUUAUUUUUGUUCAAUUCACAAGGUGUACUUAUCGGUCUUGGAGUACUGGUACUAUUAUCCUUAUACUGUCAGUGCCCAACAUGACUAUUUCAACAUGACAUGGUUGCUAUGUAAACAUAAUAGGAAGCAAGCUAGAUAACUUGUUCAAUCAUGUAAACAAACUACGUACUUGACAUAAGCAAACUUGUUUGACCUGAUACACACGACAUUAGGAAAUUGGUUCAUUCUAACAGAAACAAAUUACAAACUUGAAACAACAUAAAGGAUAAGCACAAGUUAAAGCAACUCCAAGGCCAGAUUUUGAUGUUUUUCAACAUCAAAAUCCUCCGUAGUAGUAGCCAUAAUCAUUAUCCUCCUUCGCCUCCGCCUCUUUUUCCUUUGAGCACUCCAGACCUUCUGCCAUGUUUUUAAUUCUCUUCCAUGACUCAUACGUGGCGUAUGCAUCUAUCGCUCCAUAUUCUAUGAGGUAAUCCGGUAGCAGGCUGAUCCCCCAAAGUUUAUGGUCUUCUUCCGAGUUGAUCUUGUACUUCAUGUGUUUGUAUAAUGGGUGGAUCACGCUGUCUGCAACAACACCCAAAGAGUGGGACCUCUUUCCUCCCACGAAUGGAACUCUCCAUUUGCGCUGCAUGUCGACGUACUUGUUAGGGUUGAUCUCCAAACUAGAUUCCUUUAGCAUCAGCUUGUCACCUUCAGUGCUGAAGCCAAUAAAGGUGCACAACUUCUCCUCCUGCAGGAGCGGGCAAAGUCACUUGGGACUGCAAUGGGGAAGACAUAUUGAAGAUGAAUACAUCAAGUACUUUAUUUAGUAUAAUUCAUGGAUGAAUAAAUUUUCAAAAAUUCA
RNAcentral lists this long non-coding RNA (1737 nucleotides) under Hordeum vulgare. RNAcentral describes it as "long non-coding RNA (HVUL_LNC007326)". The record is from RNAcentral. Lineage: Eukaryota; Viridiplantae; Streptophyta; Magnoliopsida; Poales; Poaceae.